UUUAUUCCACUGAAUUGGUGGCGAGAGAAAGGAAGAAAAAGAAGAGCAUCACCGAGGAGCACCUUGAAACCACCUGCAGCCAAAGUACUAGUUGAGGUCCACCUUCAGCCAGAGAGAACCUAUUUGACAGAAUCCUGAUUGGAGAGAGAUCAUAAAAACUCAUGAAAGACUUGAUUAGAAAGAAAAUAAACUUUAAAACAGCUGAGGUCCAUUGCAAACUCUGUCUUCAUUGCCAGGAAUCAUGCACGCAUUAUCAGCACCAAUGAUGUAGAUUUCUUCAUUGCCACU
Molecule: long non-coding RNA, 288 nt
Organism: Mustela erminea (ermine)
Lineage: Eukaryota; Metazoa; Chordata; Mammalia; Carnivora; Mustelidae
Exons: 3
Source: RefSeq, a predicted model, not a curated record